This 495-nucleotide ribosomal RNA is filed under the name uncultured bacterium. RNAcentral describes it as "partial 16S ribosomal RNA". It matches the Rfam family "Bacterial small subunit ribosomal RNA", at positions 28 to 507 of the family's 1533-position model. The record is from RNAcentral.
GACGAACGCUGGCGGCGUGCCUAAUACAUGCAAGUAUAACGCUGAAGGAGGAGCUUGCUUCUCUGGAUGAGUUGCGAACGGGUGAGUAACGCGUAGGUAACCUGCCUGGUAGCGGGGGAUAACUAUUGGAAACGAUAGCUAAUACCGCAUAAUAGUAGAUGUCGCAUGACAUUUGCUUAAAAGGUGCACUUGCAUCACUACCAGAUGGACCUGCGUUGUAUUAGCUAGUUGGUGAGGUAACGGCUCACCAAGGCAACGAUACAUAGCCGACCUGAGAGGGUGAUAGGCCACACUGGGACUGAGACACGGCCCAGACUCCUACGGGAGGCAGCAGUAGGGAAUCUUCGGCAAUGGACGGAAGUCUGACCGAGCAACGCCGCGUGAGUGAAGAAGGUUUUCGGAUCGUAAAGCUCUGUUGUAAGAGAAGAACGAGUGUGAGAGUGGAAAGUUCACACUGUGACGGUAUCUGACCAGAAAGGGACGGCUAACUACGUG